UACGUAGGGGGCAAGCGUUGUCCGGAUUUAUUGGGCGUAAAGAGCUCGUAGGUGGUUUGGUAAGUCGGAUGUGAAAUCUCCAGGCUCAACCUGGAGGGGUCAUUCGAUACUGCCAUGACUAGAGGUCGGUAGGGGAGUGUGGAAUUCCUGGUGGAGCGGUGAAAUGCGCAGAUAUCAGGAGGAACACCCGUAGCGAAGGCGGCACUCUGGGCCGAUACCGACACUGAGGAGCGAAAGCGUGGGGAGCGAACAGG
This 254-nucleotide ribosomal RNA is filed under the name uncultured bacterium. RNAcentral describes it as "partial 16S ribosomal RNA". It matches the Rfam family "Bacterial small subunit ribosomal RNA", at positions 524 to 776 of the family's 1533-position model. The record is from RNAcentral.